This 432-nucleotide ribosomal RNA is filed under the name uncultured bacterium. RNAcentral's name for it is "partial 16S ribosomal RNA". It matches the Rfam family "Bacterial small subunit ribosomal RNA", at positions 338 to 795 of the family's 1533-position model. The record is from RNAcentral.
CCUACGGGUGGCAGCAGUUAGGAAUCUUGCGCAAUGGGGGAAACCCUGACGCAGCGACGCCGCGUGUGGGAUGAAGGCCUUCGGGUUGUAAACCACUUUCAGGAGGGACGCGGUACCUCCAGAAGAAGGCCCGGCCAACUACGUGCCAGCAGCCGCGGUAAUACGUAGGGGCCUAGCGUUGUCCGGAUUUAUUGGGCGUAAAGAGCUCGUAGGCGGUUCGGCAAGUCGGAUGUGAAAUCUCCACGCUCAACGUGGAGGGGCCAUUCGAAACUGCUGGACUUGAGUCCGGUAGGGGGGUGUGGAAUUCCCGGUGUAGCGGUGAAAUGCGCAGAUAUCGGGAGGAACACCAGUAGCGAAGGCGGCACCCUGGGCCGGACUGACGCUGAGGAGCGAAAGCGUGGGGAGCAAACAGGAUUAGAUACCCUUGUAGUC